Molecule: long non-coding RNA, 962 nt
Filed under: Salmo salar (Atlantic salmon)
Lineage: Eukaryota; Metazoa; Chordata; Actinopteri; Salmoniformes; Salmonidae
Description: lncRNA (ENSSSAG00000107345.1)
Source: RNAcentral
GCAAAUACUGUAUCAGAUUUUUUUGGGUGAAAGUGUUACGAAGAGCCAACAAAGGGGUUGGCUCUUUAUACCCAGUCCUGUCUGCCACUAAGUUGUUGUUCGGAAAUGUGUAGGGCUGCUGGUUGCAAUUAGCCAAGUUAUCGUUCCAUUAGAGAGGGGUUCCAUUUGACAGCUCGCCGCCUGGGACAGGGAGCUCGCGCUCUGCCUCUCUGCCUUACCCAUGAUGGCGACCCAAGAAGCGGACAUGUCGCGGCGCAGUAUGAGGCUGGUUUUAGGGGGAUACUACCACCAGUCAUCAGACGAUGAUGAGUCCUCAGUUUCCUACAGGGAGAGCCCCGUGAGGGUUUUUACUAAGAGGAAGACAGGUGGUCGUAAAGUGGCGGCCUCUCGUACCUCCAGCCGGGCCAACAGCGUGGCUAGCACCGCUAGCAGCAAGGGUAGUACAGUGGAGCCACCCAUCAAUGCUGAGGACUACAUUGGGGUCUCAAGCUUGGUUCAGAGGAGGAAGACCUUCCAGGAACCUCCGGCCCCAGCUCCCAGCCUGAACCUGGCUCCCAGCCCCAGGGGCUUCUCGUCCUGCCAGACCGGACUGAACCAGGCCCAGAGCCAUAGCAGCGCCAUAGACAGCUCUGGUUACUCCUCUUCAGAGGCAAGACGUUACAGAGGAUACUCUGGAGACUCCUCCUUAGGCGAACAAAGGGUUAGCGCCAGCCAGAGAUCUGGCACUAACAGGACAAGUGCUAGUGCCAGCUGGACCCCUCCGUUUAUCCCGGCCAAUGUGGGGAAGGCCAUUCUAAUUGCCAUCCUCCUCAUACUCUUGACCUUCGGCUGCUGGCUCCUUGCCCCUUUGGUAUGGGCCACCCUGACUUCAGCCCUGAAUGCUAUCACUAUGACCCUGAACCGACCUGUCAUCACCCCGACUCCGCCACCUGACUUCACUACGCCACCUGUCUUCACUCCGC